AGUCUUAUAUUCAACAAUGAUUUUAAAUUGCAAAUUUAAAGGUGGCAUUUAGUCUAAGGCUU
RNAcentral lists this transfer RNA (62 nucleotides) under Anoplophora chinensis. RNAcentral describes it as "tRNA-Cys". The record is from RNAcentral. Lineage: Eukaryota; Metazoa; Arthropoda; Insecta; Coleoptera; Cerambycidae.